GGGGCGUUAACUCAGUCGGUAGAGUAUCUGCCUUUUAAGCAGAGAGUCGCUGGUUCGAGCCCAGCACGCCCUACCA
RNAcentral lists this transfer RNA (76 nucleotides) under Maridesulfovibrio hydrothermalis AM13 = DSM 14728. RNAcentral's name for it is "tRNA-Lys (TTT) (tRNA-Lys-TTT-1 1 to 3)". It matches the Rfam family "tRNA". Rfam says of the family: Transfer RNA (tRNA) molecules are approximately 80 nucleotides in length. Their secondary structure includes four short double-helical elements and three loops (D, anti-codon, and T loops). The record is from RNAcentral. Lineage: Bacteria; Pseudomonadati; Thermodesulfobacteriota; Desulfovibrionia; Desulfovibrionales; Desulfovibrionaceae.